GGCUCCUGGACCAACCUUCCAGAGUCCGGUAGCUGCACAGCCCCAGAUCAUCCGGCCACGGACUGAUCCGGGAGGCCAGAAAGCCGGCAAGACGGAAUUGCCCGUCUUGGACGGUGCCGGCAGCGGACCGUCUGGGCGUCGGUUUGUGUCACUGGCAACCAUCACUCGCACUUAAACCGGGCCCAGGUGCCCAUAGAAGGCAGAAAUGGUGGACACGGAUCGCUCUCAAGGAUGCUCCGCUCCGAGCCCGUCACCUAGGAUCAUCUGGGCUGUUUCUGCUGUCCGGGGACGCCGCCGUGGAAGCGAUUCGGCAGGGCGCUCGCCACCAACCGCUCUCCAAGUUUGUGCUGAAUGGAGGCAAAAGGUUGGCUUUUCGCUUGCGGGGUGGUGGAAGGAAGCAGAACUUUGAUGACACUUCUCGGUCGGCUCUUGGCGUGUCUGUGACUGCCUUCGCUGAGAGGUGCGCUGCGGGUGUCCGGCGAGGAAGAAAGAAGGGUUCGCAGCGCGCGGGGCCUGGGCGUGGAGGUGCGCUUUGCGGCUCCGCUCCGCCCCGGGCUGCAGGGCCUGGACGGUUUCUGUUCAGUAGGGUGUGUGUUACGAGCGUGGAUAGGACAGAGAUCCAGACACAAAGACAGACAAGGCAUCAGUUACUGCAGUGGGCUGGAUCUGUGUGAACUCCGAGAGCGAGAUUCGGUAACUGGGUGCAGCUGGUGCGUGUGGCUCGGUGCACAUCGGAGUCUGUGCGUUCGAGGCUUGUGUGCGGAACUGGUUGUCCACGUGUUUCGACUGGGGUUGCCCGCGCUUGUGCCUCGGGGUCUCUGUCCACCUCUGCAUAACAAAUGGCAAGAAGAAGAUGGAUUGAAGCCUGGUAUUACUUGUAUUCUGCUAUAUAACAAAACUGAAGCAUAAGCGCUUAAAACAACAAUGGCUUAUUAUUUCUCAUGGUUCUGUAGAAGACUGGAUGAUUCUUCUGCUCGUCUUGCCUGGAUGACUCAUGAAACUGCAGUUGGGGCUGGAGAGUCAGUUCCUACCAGGUGCCAACCAUACUGCAGCACAGGAAUGGGAACUCAGCAGCAAAGGAAGCAAACAAGGUAGACAGACACAUGGAGUUUACAUUUCAGCGAGGAGACAGCCAUAAACAAGCAAAGAAGUAAUUCUCUCCAGACAAGGAUUUGUACCAUUACAUGAAGAAACUACAACAAUAACCACAGGCCCCAUGACAUCAUUACAUAUAAGGACAGCAGCUAUCAGACAAAGAAACCCACAUUUGAACCAGUGAUCUGUGAGAAGUGGGAUUCAAACUGGUGUGUUUGUCCCCCUUGAAAAGCAGGAAGAGGAAGGCGCUGGAGUGGUUUCUUUCAAAAUAAUAACAGAGCUUUCGUGACUAUUUCUGUGAGUGAGG
Molecule: long non-coding RNA, 1402 nt
Filed under: Heterocephalus glaber (naked mole-rat)
Lineage: Eukaryota; Metazoa; Chordata; Mammalia; Rodentia; Bathyergidae
Description: lncRNA (ENSHGLG00000037086.1)
Source: RNAcentral